This 450-nucleotide ribosomal RNA is filed under the name uncultured bacterium. Its description in RNAcentral is "partial 16S ribosomal RNA". It matches the Rfam family "Bacterial small subunit ribosomal RNA", at positions 354 to 796 of the family's 1533-position model. The record is from RNAcentral.
GUGGGGAAUAUUCCGCAAUGGACGAAAGUCUGACGGAGCAACGCCGCGUGAGUGAUGAAGGUUUUCGGACUGUAAAGCUCUGUUGUUUGGGACGAAAGUGCCUGUUGCGAACAGUUACGGGUAUUGACGGUACUAAACGAGGAAGCCACGGCUAACUACGUGCCAGCAGCCGCGGUAAUACGUAGGUGGCAAGCGUUGUCCGGAAUUAUUGGGCGUAAAGAGCAUGUAGGCGGGAAUCUAAGUCUGUUGUUAAAAUGCGGGGCUCAACCCCGUAUUGCGAUGGAAACUGGGUUUCUUGAGUGCAGGAGAGGAAAGGGGAAUUCCCAGUGUAGCGGUGAAAUGCGUAGAUAUUGGGAGGAACACCAGUGGCGAAGGCGCCUUUCUGGACUGUGUCUGACGCUGAGAUGCGAAAGCCAGGGUAGCGAACGGGAUUAGAAACCCGUGUAGUCC